Molecule: microRNA precursor, 60 nt
Filed under: Murid gammaherpesvirus 4 (Murine herpesvirus 68)
Lineage: Duplodnaviria; Heunggongvirae; Peploviricota; Herviviricetes; Herpesvirales; Orthoherpesviridae
Description: microRNA mghv-mir-M1 precursor (mghv-mir-M1-7)
Gene: mghv-mir-M1-7
Source: miRBase by way of RNAcentral
AAAGGUGGAGGUGCGGUAACCUCCUAAGAUUACUGUUGGGAUAUCGCGCCCACCUUUAUU